CCUACGGGAGGCUGCAGUGGGGGAUAUUGGACAAUGGGGGGAACCCUGAUCCAGCGACGCCGCGUGAGUGAAGAAGUAUCUCGGUAUGUAAAGCUCUAUCAGCAGGGAAGAAGAAAUGACGGUACCUGAGUAAGAAGCCCCGGCUAACUACGUGCCAGCAGCCGCGGUAAUACGUAGGGGGCAAGCGUUAUCCGGAAUUACUGGGUGUAAAGGGAGCGUAGGCGGUGAUGUAAGUCUGGAGUGAAAGGCGGGGGCUCAACCACCGGACUGCUCUGGAAACUAGUUGACUGGAGUGCAGGAGAGGUGAGCGGAAUGCGUAGUGUAGCGGUGAAAUGCGUAGAUAUCAGGAGGAACACCAGUGGCGAAGGCGGCUUACUGGACUGUAACUGACGUUGAGGCUCGAAAGCGUGGGGAGCAAACAGGAUUAGAUACCCGUGUAGUC
This 442-nucleotide ribosomal RNA is filed under the name uncultured bacterium. RNAcentral's name for it is "partial 16S ribosomal RNA". It matches the Rfam family "Bacterial small subunit ribosomal RNA", at positions 338 to 795 of the family's 1533-position model. The record is from RNAcentral.